UACGUAGGGGGCUAGCGUUGUCCGGAAUCAUUGGGCGUAAAGAGCGUGUAGGCGGCCCGGUAAGUCCGCUGUGAAAGUCGGGGGCUCAACCCUCGAAAGCCGGUGGAUACUGUCGGGCUAGAGUGCGGAAGAGGCGAGUGGAGUUCCUGGUGUAGCGGUGAAAUGCGCAGAUAUCAGGAGGAACACCGAUUGCGAAGGCAGCUCGCUGGGACGUAACUGACGCUGAGACGCGAAAGCGUGGGGAGCAAACAGG
Molecule: ribosomal RNA, 253 nt
Filed under: uncultured bacterium
Lineage: Bacteria
Description: partial 16S ribosomal RNA
Rfam family: Bacterial small subunit ribosomal RNA
Source: RNAcentral